UUUUCAGCAGUUUUUCAUUUUGGGAGAAGUUAUUUUAGCUGGAUUUUGUAAGGGACAAAUAAACAAUUGCUUGUUCCUAUUCUAAUGCAUUAUCGACACACUGUGAAUCAUCUUAUGAAAGAAGCAGCAGUAGCACUAUGUGUUUUUCCAUUACAUUUAACUUCUUUUGAGUUAAGAGAGAGAUGAUACACCAACACCACAGCUGGUGUGUCUCUGUUAUCGUAGACUUGGACCAAAAAAUCUUAGAGGUUAAUCCAAUUCCUCUCUUCAAUGUCUAUUUCACUUAGUUCAGAAUUUACAAGGAACAAAAACCAAAAUGUAAUUAAGUUGUAGGAAGAAGGGUAUCAGCUUUUAAUUAAAGUGUUCAGGCUUAGAAUUUCUAGCACUGAGCAAUGCAGUAACAGUUUAUGGCUGAUAUGAAAUAACAAAUGCCUCUCACAUAAGUCCAUUUUUCCAGAUUUUUAAAAUUAAACGAAUUCAUUCAUAUUUGUGUUCUUGCUUUAGAGAGGCCAUAUAUUUUAAUUAAAAAUCAUUUAGAACCAGUAGGCUUCUGCAGCCAGACAUUACGUUUCUGUUCAUUUCACCAAACUCAAUGCCUGUGCUUACGAAAUACCACUCUUAAAGAGGGAUGUGUGCUCUUUUACUCCAGGGUAUAGCCUCUUUGAGAUUCAUUGGUAAACAACAGGUGGAUGGAAUCUGUCUUCCUUCAAAACCCCUCAGCAUGUCCUCUUGAGUAUAUUAUUUUUGUGUCAGGGCAUUCGUGAUUGAUAUGAACAGUCUGUAGUACUUUAAUUACCAUUUUUUACCUUGAAAUUAUGGCAAAAACCUUAGGAUAGCUGUUUCUUAUAUCCCUAAAUCCAAAGUAAAAAGAUUUCCUUUUUUGUUAUUUUUAUUUUUUAUUAACCUCAAAUUGCACCAACAUAUUCAUAGUGAUUUCUGAGACCUUUUUUUUUUUUUUUCUAAAUUAACAUUGCCAUCUUCAGUUUGUUUCCUAUCCACAGAUUUGUUUUUAUUGAUACAGAUCUUUUACACUUUUAAACUCAGUCUCUAUUUACCUGCGUUCUUUGGAAGAGAUAACUGUGAUGGCAGAAAUAACUCCAGUAUGACCAAAAAUGAAGAGAUAGGAGCUGUAACUUCACUGAAAUACAAGUAUCUCCAGUUGGCAAGCAUACAUCAAAAUCACUCAUAAGGAGGUGCUGGCAAGUGGCUUCACCAUGUGUAAAAUUGCAUUGGCAAAAUGAAAUCUGGAAGGGAAUAAUUACGUGUCGGAUUCUAGAUUAGGCAGAUAGUCUUCAUAUAAUCUCUCUGCAACCUCCACACAAUCUCCAUGCAAUUAACUGUUAGUGAGGUAGUGAACCUCCCAAAGGCAAUCCAUGAUCCAAUUUGGUUUAGGUGCUCUGAAUAGCCCUCUGGGGGCUCCUCUCUUUCUCCGGUGGCCUAAGAGCUAACUCUUCAUGUAAUCCCUAGGGUUAGGCAUCUAAAGUAGAAUGUACCAAUUCUCUCCAUCUUAUCAAAUUUAUGUCCCUGCUUUGAUAUGCUUAUCAAACUAUGUCCCUGUUUCUCCUACUGUUUAAAGAACAUACUCUUAGUUCCAAAAGCAAUUCCAUAAACCUCGAGCUGAUAUAAACUUCUUCUCCUGACAUAAACUGCUCCCUCAGGCAAAGCACAGGUCUGGUGAAGUCUGGUUGUUUCUGGGACUAUCUUUUCCAAAAGGGAGAGGGAGGGAUCUCUGAGUCAAAACCCAUUAACUGAAAUCACCUUGAAAAAGCAAUACAGAUUUAGAGACUGUCAGUUCAACCACUGAAUUGGCAUUUAAAUGAAAUACAAGGGGAAAAGAAAUCUCAGCAACAUACAGGUCAGGCAUUUGCCUGGGACUUGAAGAAGUAGUAGGCAUCUUUUCUGUGUGUACGAGCAUAAAUAUUAAUAGACUCUCAGAGGUUCUGCAGUGAGAUUCAUGGAGCUGACUUUGAGAAAACUGCAACUGAGACAAAUAGAUUGAAGGUGGACAGCAGGUUAAGUAUAAAAUUAUUAUUUGUGCAUCUGUUCAAGAGCCAUUUUAAUUUUUGAGCCCCAAGAGAAAAAAAAGUGUCAUUUUGAAUGCACAAGAGUUUGUAAGAUUUAAUGAUUCUAUUAUGGUUCCA
RNAcentral lists this long non-coding RNA (2141 nucleotides) under Anas platyrhynchos platyrhynchos (common mallard). RNAcentral's name for it is "lncRNA (ENSAPLG00000019301.1)". Lineage: Eukaryota; Metazoa; Chordata; Aves; Anseriformes; Anatidae. The record is from RNAcentral.